Molecule: ribosomal RNA, 497 nt
Filed under: uncultured bacterium
Lineage: Bacteria
Description: partial 16S ribosomal RNA
Rfam family: Bacterial small subunit ribosomal RNA
Source: RNAcentral
GAUGAACGCUGGCGGCGUGCCUAAUACAUGCAAGUCGAGCGAACGGACGAGAAGCUUGCUUCUCUGAUGUUAGCGGCGGACGGGUGAGUAACACGUGGAUAACCUACCUAUAAGACUGGGAUAACUUCGGGAAACCGGAGCUAAUACCGGAUGAUAUUUUGAACCGCAUGGUUCAAAAGUGAAAGACGGUCUUGCUGUCACUUAUAGAUGGAUCCGCGCUGCAUUAGCUAGUUGGUAAGGUAACGGCUUACCAAGGCAACGAUGCAUAGCCGACCUGAGAGGGUGAUCGGCCACACUGGAACGGGGACACGGUCCAGACUCCUACGGGAGGCAGCAGUAGGGAAUCUUCCGCAAUGGGCGAAAGCCUGACGGAGCAACGCCGCGUGAGUGAUGAAGGUCUUCGGAUCGUAAAACUCUGUUAUUAGGGAAGAACAUAUGUGUAAGUAACUGUGCACAUCUUGACGGUACCUAAUCAGAAAGCCACGGCUAACUACGUG